RNAcentral lists this ribosomal RNA (279 nucleotides) under uncultured bacterium. RNAcentral describes it as "partial 16S ribosomal RNA". It matches the Rfam family "Bacterial small subunit ribosomal RNA", at positions 506 to 784 of the family's 1533-position model. The record is from RNAcentral.
UGCCAGCAGCCGCGGUAAUACGGAGGGGGCAAGCGUUGUUCGGAAUUAUUGGGCGUAAAGGGCGCGUAGGCGGCCAAGUAAGUCAGGCGUGAAAUCCCACGGCUCAACCGUGGAACUGCGUUUGAUACUGCUUGGCUUGAGUCCCGGAGAGGGUAGUGGAAUUCCUAGUGUAGCGGUGAAAUGCGUAGAUAUUAGGAGGAACACCAGUGGCGAAGGCGACUACCUGGACGGGUACUGACGCUGAGGCGCGAAAGCAUGGGGAGCAAACAGGAUUAGAUA